AUUGAACGCUGGCGGCAGGCCUAACACAUGCACGUCGAGCGAGCGGAGGACGGGUGAGUAAUGUAUGGGGACUGCCCGAUAGCGGGGGAUAACUACUGGAAACGGUGGCUAAUACCGCAUAUUGUCGGAUAACACAAAUGGGAGUAGCUAGUAGGUAAGGUAAUGGCUGACCUAGGCUACGAUCCCUAGCUGGUCUGAGAGGAUGAUCAGCCACACUGGGACUGAGACACGGCCCAGACUCCUACGGAGGCAGCAGUGGGGAAUAUUGCACAAUGGGCGAAAGCCUGAUGCAGCCAUGCCGCGUGUAUGAGGAAGGCCCUAGGGUUGUAAAGUACUUUCAGUCGGGAGGCGUUACCGACAGAAGAAGCACCGGCUAACUCCGUGCCAGCCGCCGCGGUAAUUC
RNAcentral lists this ribosomal RNA (403 nucleotides) under uncultured bacterium. Its description in RNAcentral is "partial 16S ribosomal RNA". It matches the Rfam family "Bacterial small subunit ribosomal RNA", at positions 30 to 526 of the family's 1533-position model. The record is from RNAcentral.